CAAAUGAAUUGACGGGGCCGCACAAGCGGCGGAGCAUGCGGAUUAAUUCGAUGCAACGCGAAGAACCUUACCAAGGCUUGACAUACACCGGUAACGCCCAGAGAUGGGUGCCCCUUUGUGGUCGGUGUACAGGUGGUGCAUGGUUGUCGUCAGCUCGUGUCGUGAGAUGUUGGGUUAGGUCCCGCAACGAGCGCAACCCUCGUCCUAUGUUGCCAGCGGGUCAUGCCGGGGACUCAUGGGAGACUGCCGGGGUCAACUCGGAGGAAGGUGGGGAUGACGUCAAAUCAUCAUGCCCCUUAUGUCUUGGGCUUCACGCAUGCUACAAUGGCCGGUACAAAGGGCUGCGAUACCGCGAGGUGGAGCGAAUCCCAGAAAGCCGGUCUCAGUUCGGAUUGGGGUCCGCAACUCGACCCCAUGAAGUCGGAGUCGCUAGUAAUCGCAGAUCAGCAACGCUGCGGUGAAUACGUUCCCGGGCCUU
RNAcentral lists this ribosomal RNA (478 nucleotides) under uncultured Curtobacterium sp. RNAcentral's name for it is "bacterial SSU rRNA". It matches the Rfam family "Bacterial small subunit ribosomal RNA", at positions 902 to 1382 of the family's 1533-position model. Lineage: Bacteria; Bacillati; Actinomycetota; Actinomycetes; Micrococcales; Microbacteriaceae. The record is from RNAcentral.